AAAAUUGGAGGGGGGUCUUAUUCGUGGGAUACCCUCUUCAUAGGGAUUAGUCUCGAAUCCUUUCAUAACUCCAGGGAUUUACCCUGAGUAAUCAAAAAAAAAAAAAAAAAACAACGAGAACUCAAGCUCUUUUGAGCUGAGGCAAUAUUGUACAUGUUUGAGUUAUGUGGUUUGGAAUAAGUGUUUCUUCUUCCGGUUUCUACUGGUUGUUUCGCGAUUUUUCUUUAUCAUGUUUCUCUUGUAUACAUAGG
RNAcentral lists this long non-coding RNA (251 nucleotides) under Capsella rubella. RNAcentral describes it as "long non-coding RNA (CRUB_LNC003009)". The record is from RNAcentral. Lineage: Eukaryota; Viridiplantae; Streptophyta; Magnoliopsida; Brassicales; Brassicaceae.